This 433-nucleotide ribosomal RNA is filed under the name uncultured bacterium. RNAcentral describes it as "partial 16S ribosomal RNA". It matches the Rfam family "Bacterial small subunit ribosomal RNA", at positions 29 to 507 of the family's 1533-position model. The record is from RNAcentral.
AGCGAACGCUGGCGGCAGGCCUAACACAUGCAAGUCGAACGAACUCUUCGGAGUUAGUGGCGGACGGGUGAGUAACACGUGGGAACGUGCCUUUUGGUUCGGAAUAACUCAGGGAAACUUGUGCUAAUACCGAAUGUGCCCUUCGGGGGAAAGAUUUAUCGCCAUUAGAGCGGCCCGCGUCUGAUUAGCUAGUUGGUGAGGUAACGGCCCACCAAGGCGACGAUCAGUAGCUGGUCUGAGAGGAUGACCAGCCACACUGGGACUGAGACACGGCCCAGACUCCUACGGGAGGCAGAAGUGGGGAAUCUUGCGAAAUGGGCGAAAGCCUGACGCAGCCAUGCCGGGUGAAUGAUGAAGGUCUUAGGAUUGUAAAAUUCUUUCACCGGGGACGAUAAUGACGGUACCCGGAGAAGAAGCCCCGGCUAACUUCGUG